GUGGGGAAUUUUGGACAAUGGGCGAAAGCCUGAUCCAGCAAUGCCGCGUGCAGGAAGAAGGCCUUCGGGUUGUAAACUGCUUUUGUACGGAACGAAACGGUCUGCCCUAAUACGGUGGGCUAAUGACGGUACCGUAAGAAUAAGCACCGGCUAACUACGUGCCAGCAGCCGCGGUAAUACGUAGGGUGCGAGCGUUAAUCGGAAUUACUGGGCGUAAAGCGUGCGCAGGCGGUUAUGUAAGACAGUUGUGAAAUCCCCGGGCUCAACCUGGGAAUUGCAUCUGUGACUGCAUAGCUAGAGUACGGUAGAGGGGGAUGGAAUUCCGCGUGUAGCAGUGAAAUGCGUAGAUAUGCGGAGGAACACCGAUGGCGAAGGCAAUCCCCUGGACCUGUACUGACGCUCAUGCACGAAAGCGUGGGGAGCAAACAGGAUUAGAAACCCCUGUAGUCC
RNAcentral lists this ribosomal RNA (450 nucleotides) under uncultured bacterium. RNAcentral's name for it is "bacterial SSU rRNA". It matches the Rfam family "Bacterial small subunit ribosomal RNA", at positions 354 to 796 of the family's 1533-position model. The record is from RNAcentral.